UAAGGGAUAUUGGUCAAUGGGGCGGGAGCCUGAACCAGCCAUGCCGCGUGAGGGAAUGAGGCCCUACGGGUCGUAAACCUCUUUUGCCGGGGGAUAACGGGCGCCACGUGUGGCGCCGUGAAGGUACCCGGAGAAUAAGCAUCGGCUAAUUACGUGCCAGCAGCCGCGGUAACACGUAAGUUGCGAGCGUUGUUCGGAAUUAUUGGGCGUAAAGGGCAUGUAGGCGGUUUUGCAAGCUUGGUGCGAAAUGCCGGAGCUUAACUCCGGAACUGCGUUGAGAACUGCAUAACUAGAGUCACUGAGGGGCAAUCAGAAUUCCAGGUGUAGGGGUGAAAUCUGUAGAUAUCUGGAAGAAUACCAAUGGCGAAGGCAGGUUACCAGCAGAUGACUGACGCUGAGGUGCGAAGGUGCG
RNAcentral lists this ribosomal RNA (412 nucleotides) under uncultured Treponema sp. Its description in RNAcentral is "bacterial SSU rRNA". It matches the Rfam family "Bacterial small subunit ribosomal RNA", at positions 355 to 763 of the family's 1533-position model. The record is from RNAcentral. Lineage: Bacteria; Pseudomonadati; Spirochaetota; Spirochaetia; Treponematales; Treponemataceae.